AUUGAACGCUGGCGGCAGGCCUAACACAUGCAAGUCGAGCGAGCGGCGGACGGGUGAGUAAUGUCUGGGAAACUGCCUGAUGGAGGGGGAUAACUACUGGAAACGGUAGCUAAUACCGCAUACCAUCAGAUGUGCCCAGAUGGGAUUAGCUAGUAGGUGGGGUAAUGGCUCACCUAGGCGACGAUCCCUAGCUGGUCUGAGAGGAUGACCAGCGACACAGGGACUGAGACACGUUCCAGGCUCCUACGGGAGGCAGCAGUGGGGAAUAUUGCACAAUGGGCGCAAGCCUGAAGCAGCCAUGCCGCGUGUGAGAAGAAGGCCUUCGGGUUGUAAAGCACUUUCAGCGGGGAGGCGUUACCCGCAGAAGAAGCACCGGCUAACGCCGUGCCAGCAGCCGCGGUAAUUC
RNAcentral lists this ribosomal RNA (406 nucleotides) under uncultured bacterium. RNAcentral's name for it is "partial 16S ribosomal RNA". It matches the Rfam family "Bacterial small subunit ribosomal RNA", at positions 29 to 526 of the family's 1533-position model. The record is from RNAcentral.